AUUACCGCGGCUGCUGGCAGUAGUUAGCCGGAGCUUCCUCCUUGGGUACCGUCAUUUUUUUCGUCCCCAAGGACAGAGGUUUACAAUCCGAAGACAUUCUUCCCUCACGCGGCGUUGCUGGGUCAGGCUUGCGCCCAUUGCCCAAUAUUCCCCACUGCUGCCUCCCGUAGG
This 171-nucleotide ribosomal RNA is filed under the name uncultured Banisveld landfill bacterium BVA31. RNAcentral's name for it is "partial 16S ribosomal RNA". The record is from RNAcentral.